RNAcentral lists this ribosomal RNA (392 nucleotides) under uncultured bacterium. RNAcentral's name for it is "partial 16S ribosomal RNA". It matches the Rfam family "Bacterial small subunit ribosomal RNA", at positions 523 to 918 of the family's 1533-position model. The record is from RNAcentral.
AUACGGAGGAUGCGAGCGUUAUCCGGAUUUAUUGGGUUUAAAGGGAGCGUAGGCGGGAGCUUAAGACAGCGGUUAAAUGGUGCGGCUCAACCGUGCCCUGCCGUUGAAACUGGGUUUCUUGGGAGUGCAAGAGGCGGAUGGAAUUCAAGGUGUAGCGGUGAAAUGCUUAGAUAUCAUGAAGAACUCCGAUUGCGAAGGCAGUCCGCUGGGGCACGUCUGACGCUGAUGCUCGAAGGUGCGGGAAUCAAACAGGAUUAGAUACCCUGGUAGUCCGCACGGUAAACGAUGAUUACCCGCUGUCGGCGGCAGACAGUCGGCGGCCAAGCGAAAGCGAUAAGUAAUCCACCUGGGGAGUACGCCGGCAACGGUGAAACUCAAAUGAAUUGACGGGG